UCACAAAUCGGCUCUUCUGGUAAUCAUUGAUCUUGAUGACUUGUUUCCAGUACUCUGCCACCUCUGGAAGGCCAUUGCACUCGCAGAUGUAAACAAGAUUCAGAAUAUCCUUCUGGAAGCAGGACCCACCAAAACCAACACUAGCAUUCAAGAACUUGGGACCAAUCCUUGAAUCCUUUCCAACAGCAUAGGCCACCUCGGCAACAUCAGCCCCAGUUGCCUCACAGAGUGCUGACAUGGCAUUAACGGAGGAAAUCCUUUGGGCCA
This 267-nucleotide long non-coding RNA is filed under the name Populus trichocarpa (black cottonwood). Its description in RNAcentral is "long non-coding RNA (PTRI_LNC001227)". Lineage: Eukaryota; Viridiplantae; Streptophyta; Magnoliopsida; Malpighiales; Salicaceae. The record is from RNAcentral.